AUCAUCUAUUCACUCUUGCAGCUGUGGCUGCGGUGUCACCUGUGCAUCAUCAGUAGGUGGCAGAGAGAGAGGCUUUCUCUACACUCAGGGUUCUGACUGAUGACCAUCUGAAGGAUUAGUUGCCGACCAUU
This is a small nucleolar RNA of Acomys russatus (golden spiny mouse), 131 nucleotides long. RefSeq annotates it as small nucleolar RNA SNORA17. NCBI's taxonomy places the organism in Eukaryota, Metazoa, Chordata, Mammalia, Rodentia, Muridae. The record is from RefSeq and is a predicted model, not a curated record. The transcript has a single exon.